RNAcentral lists this ribosomal RNA (225 nucleotides) under uncultured bacterium. Its description in RNAcentral is "partial 16S ribosomal RNA". It matches the Rfam family "Bacterial small subunit ribosomal RNA", at positions 125 to 334 of the family's 1533-position model. The record is from RNAcentral.
UCUACCUUUGCGACCGGGAUAACUAGCCGAAAGGUUGGCUAAUACUGGAUAGAGCGCAUGGAACGUAAAGUUUCGUGCGGGAAAGGGGGGCGUAGCAAUACGCUUCUGCGCUGGGAUGAGCCUGCGUCUCAUUAGCUAGUUGGUGAGGUAACGGCUCACCAAGGCUCCGAUCGGUAUCCGGCCUGAGAGGGCGGACGGACACACUGGGACUGAGACACGGCCCAG